This 628-nucleotide ribosomal RNA is filed under the name Cyphellophora sp. RNAcentral describes it as "partial large subunit ribosomal RNA". It matches the Rfam family "Eukaryotic large subunit ribosomal RNA", at positions 259 to 905 of the family's 3401-position model. Lineage: Eukaryota; Fungi; Ascomycota; Eurotiomycetes; Chaetothyriales; Cyphellophoraceae. The record is from RNAcentral.
GACGAGUCGAGUUGUUUGGGAAUGCAGCUCUAAAUGGGUGGUAAAUUUCAUCUAAAGCUAAAUAUUGGCCAGAGACCGAUAGCGCACAAGUAGAGUGAUCGAAAGAUGAAAAGCACUUUGAAAAGAGAGUUAAAAAGUACGUGAAAUUGUUGAAAGGGAAGCGCUGGCAACCAGACUUGCGCGUCGGGGUUCCCCCUUGCUUCUGCUUGGGUUACUCCCCGGCGUUCAGGCCAACAUCGGUUUCGGGGGUUGGUUAAAGGCCCUGGGAAUGUACCUACCCUCCGGGGUAGACUUAUAGCCCAGGGUGUCAUGCGACCUCCCGGGACCGAGGAACGCGCUUCGGCUCGGAUGUUGGCGUAAUGGUUGUCAGCGACCCGUCUUGAAACACGGACCAAGGAGUCUAACAUCUAUGCGAGUGUUAGGGUGUCAAACCCUUACGCGGAAUGAAAGUGAACGGAGGUAGGAAGCCGUUAGGCUGCACUAUCGACCGAUCCUGAAAUUUAUGGAAGGAUUUGAGUAAGAGCAUAGCUGUUGGGACCCGAAAGAUGGUGAACUAUGCCUGAAUAGGGUGAAGCCAGAGGAAACUCUGGUGGAGGCUCGCAGCGGUUCUGACGUGCAAAUCGAUCGU